GAGAGCUAGGGAGGAGCAGAGAAGGAAGAGGCAGAACUACUGAACAAAACCCCACAGCAGCCUUUUUGGCAUCGUUUGUGAAGGAAAGGGGAGAGAACAGGAGAGAGAUCCUAAUCUUAAAUAUGUAUUGGGUGCUGCCAUCCAACAGUGGCGGGUGUGGACUGAAAUGCUCAGUAGCCAGGGGAGAUGGUAGAUUAGGCAGAUUGUUUACUGUGAGAUGCACAGAGGGAAAAGAUCUGGGAAGACUCAAGGAUGGGCUGCAGAAAGGUGUGAGGCUUAAAGCAGGACUCCUGAUCCUUUCCAGAAAGAAAAAUCAGCCAUGGGCUGCCUGUCGAGGGACAGCAAGCUGCGUGGGCAUAUGGGCUGCUGGUCCCAUGCCUGGGAGAAAGCAGGUCCCAAACCUCAGAAAAGUUCAUUUUAUGCAAGGGCUGACUGCCUGAAUGCCUCUGGGGCAGGCAUUGAGCUCUGCCUGCUGCAAGCAUGAUGGAAGGAAUCGAUGGGAGUGGUGUUUAGAGCUUCACUGCUUGAGCUCCUUGCACUCAGCCUGAAAAAGCACAUCUCCAACAGGAAAACAUCUUAAACUAACAGGAUCUCAAGCUUUAAGAAGCCUAGCAAGUUUAUGGCAUUGCAUUUUGAAGAAAGAAAUAGAAGCAGAAUAAAUAUAUAUUCCAUUACA
Molecule: long non-coding RNA, 676 nt
Filed under: Chloebia gouldiae (Gouldian finch)
Lineage: Eukaryota; Metazoa; Chordata; Aves; Passeriformes; Passeridae
Description: Erythrura gouldiae (Gouldian finch) lncRNA (ENSEGOG00005006896.1)
Source: RNAcentral